UGCAUCUCCAACCCCCCGAAUCUUGUAUGCUUUAAAAAUUAGUCGUGUAUGUUCCCCUGCCAUAUGUGCAAUCUUAUGGAAUAUCGUUCGUCCCUUGUGCAUGAUGUCGACCAUCCAUUGUGCACGAUUUUUAUUGUCUUUUGUGGGUGAUAUCCUCAUCUCUUGCUUUUGUGGUGUGAUCUCGCCAUUGUUUGUGUCAUCCAUUGAUUAUGUUGGUCUCAAUGUUGUCAAACUCAUCAUCUCAUUUGCUUGCUCUCAUUUCAAUUUCUUAUUUUUCUCUUCUCCAUAGAUAUGUAUAAACUAUAUAUAGCUCAAAAUGUAUAGUACAUGU
Molecule: long non-coding RNA, 331 nt
Filed under: Carica papaya (papaya)
Lineage: Eukaryota; Viridiplantae; Streptophyta; Magnoliopsida; Brassicales; Caricaceae
Description: long non-coding RNA (CPAP_LNC009480)
Source: RNAcentral